CUUCCAUACAGUUUCACUACGUGCAAAUUUUGAAUUCUUGCAUUUCCGACAAGGGCAUGAUAUCUUAUGGUAUUCAUGAGUGAUCGGUGUAGAGCCUGCAUGGUACAUGAAUGUCUCUAGCCCACUCAGAAAUGCAUUCGUCACUCUCCCUUCCGAAUCUUUACGGGAAUACAUCCAACUCUGUAACUCGUAAAUAUUACCGCCAUCCGCCAUUUUCUUUU
Molecule: long non-coding RNA, 221 nt
Filed under: Brassica napus (rape)
Lineage: Eukaryota; Viridiplantae; Streptophyta; Magnoliopsida; Brassicales; Brassicaceae
Description: long non-coding RNA (BNAP_LNC022969)
Source: RNAcentral